Molecule: ribosomal RNA, 254 nt
Filed under: uncultured bacterium
Lineage: Bacteria
Description: partial 16S ribosomal RNA
Rfam family: Bacterial small subunit ribosomal RNA
Source: RNAcentral
UACAGAGGUCUCAAGCGUUGUUCGGAUUCAUUGGGCGUAAAGAGCGUGUAGGCGGUCCGGUAAGUCCGCUGUGAAAGUCGGGGGCUCAACCCUCGAAUGCCGGUGGAUACUGUCGGGCUAGAGUGCGGAAGAGGCGAGUGGAAUUCCUGGUGUAGCGGUGAAAAUGCGCAGAUAUCAGGAGGAACACCUAUUGCGAAGGCAGCUCGCUGGGACGUAACUGACGCUGAGACGCGAAAGCGUGGGGAGCAAACAGG